Molecule: ribosomal RNA, 479 nt
Filed under: uncultured bacterium
Lineage: Bacteria
Description: partial 16S ribosomal RNA
Rfam family: Bacterial small subunit ribosomal RNA
Source: RNAcentral
GAUGAACGCUAGCGGGAGGCCUAACACAUGCAAGCCGAGCGGUAGAGUUUCUUCGGAAACUUGAGAGCGGCGCACGGGUGCGUAACACGUGUGCAACCUACCUUUAUCUGGGGGAUAGCCUUUCGAAAGGAAGAUUAAUACCCCAUAAUAUAAUGAUUGGCAUCAAUUAUUAUUGAAAACUCCGGUGGAUAGAGAUGGGCACGCGCAAGAUUAGAUAGUUGGUGAGGUAACGGCUCACCAAGUCAAUGAUCUUUAGGGGUCCUGAGAGGGAGAUCCCCCACACUGGUACUGAGACACGGACCAGACUCCUAAGGGAGGCAGCAGUGAGGAAUAUUGGACAAUGGGUGAGAGCCUGAUCCAGCCAUCCCGCGUGAAGGAUGACGGUCCUAUGGAUUGUAAACUUCUUUUGUACAGGGAUAAACCUACCCUCGUGAGGGUAGCUGAAGGUACUGUACGAAUAAGCACCGGCUAACUCCGUG